AUGCUUGUAGAUCAUGAAAAGAAUGCCUUAGGUGCUGGUUAUAUUGUUGAAUUCAUUCAUGAUGCUACUGAAAAUUAUUAUGAGGGAGGAACAUAUGCUUGUAUGAAUUGCAAUAAUAUCAAGUUUCCUCUCUAUGUGCUUAAAAUUUUAAAGUUAUCCUUGUUUUACCUUCCUAUGCAAGUUGAUUCUUGUUCCCACAAGUUGUUUGCUCACAAAAUCCCUAUGCAUAGGAAGUGGGUUAGACUUAAAUGUGCUAGUCAUAUUCUUCAUGAUGCUCUCUUUAUGUUACAAUUCUUAUCUUUUAUGUGA
This 309-nucleotide ribosomal RNA is filed under the name Triticum aestivum (bread wheat). RNAcentral describes it as "partial small subunit ribosomal RNA". The record is from RNAcentral. Lineage: Eukaryota; Viridiplantae; Streptophyta; Magnoliopsida; Poales; Poaceae.